UACGUAGGUGGCAAGCGUUGUCCGGAAUUAUUGGGCGUAAAGCGCGCGCAGGUGGUUUCUUAAGUCUGAUGUGAAAGCCCACGGCUCAACCGUGGAGGGUCAUUGGAAACUGGGAGACUUGAGUGCAGAAGAGGAAAGUGGAAUUCCAUGUGUAGCGGUGAAAUGCGUAGAGAUAUGGAGGAACACCAGUGGCGAAGGCGACUUUCUGGUCUGUAACUGACACUGAGGCGCGAAAGCGUGGGGAGCAAACAGG
RNAcentral lists this ribosomal RNA (253 nucleotides) under uncultured bacterium. RNAcentral's name for it is "partial 16S ribosomal RNA". It matches the Rfam family "Bacterial small subunit ribosomal RNA", at positions 524 to 776 of the family's 1533-position model. The record is from RNAcentral.